AUACGGAGGGAGCAAGCGUUACUCGGAAUCACUGGGCGUAAAGGGCGCGCAGGCGGUUUGGUAAGUCAGAUGUGAAAGCCCACGGCUCAACCGUGGAAGUGCAUUUGAAACUGUCAGACUUGAGUACUAGAGGGGAAAGUGGAAUUCCCGGUGUAGAGGUGAAAUUCGUAGAUAUCGGGAGGAAUACCGGUGGCGAAGGCGACUUUCUGGCUAGAUACUGACGCUGAGGCGCGAAAGCGUGGGGAGUAAACAGGAUUAGAAACCCCAGUAGUCC
Molecule: ribosomal RNA, 274 nt
Filed under: uncultured bacterium
Lineage: Bacteria
Description: partial 16S ribosomal RNA
Rfam family: Bacterial small subunit ribosomal RNA
Source: RNAcentral